AACCGAUAUUGACGCUCAGGCACGAAAGCGUGGGGAGCGAACAGGAGUAGAUACCCUGGUAGUCCACGCCGUAAACUAUGAUCACUCGUUGUUGGCAAUACACAGUCAGUGACCAAGCGAAAGCGAUAAGUGAUCCACCUGGGGAGUACGAUCGCAAGGUUGAAACUCAAAGGAAUUGACGGGGGCCCGCACAAGCGGUGGAGCAUGUGGUUUAAUUCGAUGAUACGCGAGGAACCUUACCAAGGCUUAAAUGUAAAACGACUGGUUGAGAGAUCGACCUUUUUUCGAACGAUUUACAAGGUGCUGCAUGGUUGUCGUCAGCUCGUGCCGUGAGGUGUCGGGUUAAGUCCCAUAACGAGCGCAACCCCUACUCUUAGUUGCCAGCAUGUAAUGAUGGGGACUCUAGGAGAACUGCCUACGCAAGUAGAGAGGAAGGUGGGGAUGACGUCAAAUCAGCACGGCCCUUACGUCCAGGGCUACACACGUGCUACAAUGGCCGGUACAGAGGGCAGCUACCUGGUGACAGGAUGCAAAUCUCUAAAGCCGGUCUCAGUUCGGAUCGAAGUCUGCAACUCGACUUCGUGAAGUUGGAUUCGCUAGUAAUCGCGCAUCAGCCAUGGCGCGGUGAAUACGUUCCCGGGCCUUGUACACACCGCCCGUCAAGCCAUGGAAGCUGGGGGUACCUGAAGUCGGUGACCGUUAAGGAGCUGCCUAGGGUAAAACUGGUGACUGGGGCUAAGUCGUAACAAGGUAGCCGUACCGGAAGGUGCGGCUG
RNAcentral lists this ribosomal RNA (775 nucleotides) under marine metagenome. Its description in RNAcentral is "bacterial SSU rRNA". It matches the Rfam family "Bacterial small subunit ribosomal RNA", at positions 732 to 1520 of the family's 1533-position model. The record is from RNAcentral.